Molecule: long non-coding RNA, 348 nt
Organism: Salvelinus fontinalis (brook trout)
Lineage: Eukaryota; Metazoa; Chordata; Actinopteri; Salmoniformes; Salmonidae
Exons: 3
Source: RefSeq, a predicted model, not a curated record
AUUGCAACUCUUCCCCCUUUGGCAGUUCUAUCUUGACGGAAAAUGUUGUAGUUGUAUAUGGAAAUCUUUGAAUUUUUGGUGGCCUUCCUAAGCCAGGAUUCAGACACGGCAAGGACAUCAGGGUUGGCGGAGUGUGCUAAAGCAAUCUGCCAACCAGGCUCUGUGGGUGACUGGUAACCGUAUUUCCACCAAGCUGUUCCUGGCCUGGAGUGGCACGCUGGGACUUCCAUAGGCUUGUAGACCUGAAGCAGUGUGAUGUGGUCCAGAUCGGUCACCCCUAUUAGCUCAACCACAGCCCUCACAGCUGCAGUCGUCUGCCCCUGUACCUGCUACACUGGCUGCGACAGG